AACUUUCAACAACGGAUCUCUUGGCUCUCGCAUCGAUGAAGAACGCAGCGAAAUGCGAUAAGUAAUGUGAAUUGCAGAAUUCAGUGAAUCAUCGAAUCUUUGAACGCACCUUGCGCUCCUUGGUAUUCCAUGGAGCAUGCCUGUUUGAGUGUCACGU
This 157-nucleotide ribosomal RNA is filed under the name Auricularia auricula-judae (jelly ear fungus). Its description in RNAcentral is "5.8S ribosomal RNA". It matches the Rfam family "5.8S ribosomal RNA". From Rfam's summary of the family: 5.8S ribosomal RNA (5.8S rRNA) is a component of the large subunit of the eukaryotic ribosome. It is transcribed by RNA polymerase I as part of the 45S precursor that also contains 18S and 28S rRNA. The record is from RNAcentral. Lineage: Eukaryota; Fungi; Basidiomycota; Agaricomycetes; Auriculariales; Auriculariaceae. RNAcentral also lists the same sequence under 5 other names.